GACGAACGCUGGCGGCGUGCUUAACACAUACAAGUCGAACGGAAAGGCCCUGCUUUUGUGGGGUGCUCGAGUGGCGAACGGGUGAGUAACACGUGAGUAACCUGCCCUUGACUUUGGGAUAACUUCAGGAAACUGGGGCUAAUACCGGAUAGGAGCUCCUGCUGCAUGGUGGGGGUUGGAAAGUUUCGGCGGUUGGGGAUGGACUCGCGGCUUAUCAGCUUGUUGGUGGGGUAGUGGCUUACCAAGGCUUUGACGGGUAGCCGGCCUGAGAGGGUGACCGGCCACAUUGGGACUGAGAUACGGCCCAGACUCCUACGGGAGGCAGCAGUGGGGAAUAUUGCACAAUGGGCGGAAGCCUGAUGCAGCAACGCCGCGUGCGGGAUGACGGCCUUCGGGUUGUAAACCGCCUUCGCCUGUGACGAAGCGUGAGUGACGGUAAUGGGUAAAGAAGCACCGGCUAACUACGUG
Molecule: ribosomal RNA, 468 nt
Filed under: uncultured bacterium
Lineage: Bacteria
Description: partial 16S ribosomal RNA
Rfam family: Bacterial small subunit ribosomal RNA
Source: RNAcentral